RNAcentral lists this ribosomal RNA (301 nucleotides) under uncultured bacterium. Its description in RNAcentral is "partial 16S ribosomal RNA". It matches the Rfam family "Bacterial small subunit ribosomal RNA", at positions 509 to 807 of the family's 1533-position model. The record is from RNAcentral.
CAGCAGCCACGGUAAUACAGAGGGUGCGAGCGUUAAUCGGAUUUACUGGGCGUAAAGCGUGCGUAGGCGGCUUCUUAAGUCGGAUGUGAAAUCCCUGAGCUUAACUUAGGAAUUGCAUUCGAUACUGGGAAGCUAGAGUAUGGGAGAGUAUGGUAGAAUUCCAGGUGUAGCGGUGAAAUGCGUAGAGAUCUGGAGGAAUACCGAUGGCGAAGGCAGCCAUCUGGCCUAAUACUGACGCUGAGGUACGAAAGCAUGGGGAGCAAACAGGAUUAGAUACCCGCGUAGUCCCUGUCUCUUAUAC